This 253-nucleotide ribosomal RNA is filed under the name uncultured bacterium. RNAcentral's name for it is "partial 16S ribosomal RNA". It matches the Rfam family "Bacterial small subunit ribosomal RNA", at positions 524 to 776 of the family's 1533-position model. The record is from RNAcentral.
UACAGAGGGGGCUAGCGUUGUUCGGAAUUACUGGGCGUAAAGGGCGCGUAGGUGGCCUGUUAAGUCGAACGUGAAAUCCCCGGGCUCAACCCGGGAACUGCGUCCGAGACUGGCAGGCUCGAAUCCGGGAGAGGGAUGUGGAAUUCCAGGUGUAGCGGUGAAAUGCGUAGAUAUCUGGAGGAACACCCAUAGCGAAGGCAGCUUGCUGGGACGUUACUGACGCUAAGGCGCGAAAGCGUGGGGAGCGAACAGG